CGAGUGGCGGACGGGUGAGUAAUGUCUGGGAAACUGCCUGAUGGAGGGGGAUAACUACUGGAAACGGUGGCUAAUACCGCAUAACGUCGCAAGACCAAAGAGGGGGACCUUCGGGCCUCUUGCCAUCAGAUGUGCCCAGAUGGGAUUAGCUUGUUGGUGAGGUAACGGCUCACCAAGGCGACGAUCCCUAGCUGGUCUGAGAGGAUGACCAGCCACACUGGAACUGAGACACGGUCCAGACUCCUACGGGAGGCAGCAGUGGGGAAUAUUGCACAAUGGGCGCAAGCCUGAUGCAGCCAUGCCGCGUGUAUGAAGAAGGCCUUCGGGUUGUAAAGUACUUUCAGCGGGGAGGAAGGUGUUGUGGUUAAUAACCGCAGCAAUUGACGUUACCCGCAGAAGAAGCACCGGCUAACUCCGUGCCAGCAGCCGCGGUAAUACGGAGGGUGCAAGCGUUAAUCGGAAUUACUGGGCGUAAAGCGCACGCAGGCGGUCUGUCAAGUCGGAUGUGAAAUCCCCGGGCUCAACCUGGGAACUGCAUUCGAAACUGGCAGGCUUGAGUCUUGUAGAGGGGGGUAGAAUUCCAGGUGUAGCGGUGAAAUGCGUAGAGAUCUGGAGGAAUACCGGUGGCGAAGGCGGCCCCCUGGACAAAGACUGACGCUCAGGUGCGAAAGCGUGGGGAGCAAACAGGAUU
RNAcentral lists this ribosomal RNA (691 nucleotides) under Salmonella enterica. RNAcentral describes it as "bacterial SSU rRNA". It matches the Rfam family "Bacterial small subunit ribosomal RNA", at positions 92 to 779 of the family's 1533-position model. RNAcentral also lists the same sequence under 1 other name. Lineage: Bacteria; Pseudomonadati; Pseudomonadota; Gammaproteobacteria; Enterobacterales; Enterobacteriaceae. The record is from RNAcentral.